GAAAGGAUCGAGAUCCAACAAGAGUGGGGAACACAAAUUCGGAUCUCUUCUUUUCCACCUUGAUUCCUUCCCUUUUUCCAUCAUCUGCAAAAAUGCCCGCCGGAACUCUUGAAGUUCUUCUUGUUUCCGCCAAGGGCCUUGAAAACACCGAUUACCUCUGUAACAUGGAUCCUUAUGUUACUCUUACUUGCCGCUCACAGGAGCAGAAAAGCAGUGUUGCAUCAGGAAAGGGAUCUGACCCUGAAUGGAAUGAGACUUUUGUAUUCACCAUAUCUGAGGGUGCAGAAGAGCUCAUCCUGAAGAUAUUGGACAGUGAUAGUGGCACGCAAGAUGACUUUGUUGGUGAAGUAAAAAUCCCACUUGACCCUGUUUACCUUGGAGGAAGCCUCCCAGAAACAGUAUACAACGUGGUCAAGGAUGAAGAAUACCGUGGAGAGAUCAAAGUUGGCCUUAAAUUUUCUCCUGAGGAAAGGACUGAAAGAAAUUUCCAAAUGGAAGAAGAAGCUUAUGGUGGAUGGAAGCAGUCUUCAUAUACAGAUUGAGAAUCACCACCACUCAGUGAGAUUGUUAAUUGUAUGGUUUGAGAGAAUUGGUAUCCUAUUUGUGUUCAGAGACAAGACCUUUGUUAUGUAAACAACUGCCCUGAUGUUGAUGAUGGUUGGUUUUUUGCUUAUGUUUUAGAUGUCUGGAAUGAAGUCUCGAAAUUUUU
RNAcentral lists this unclassified non-coding RNA (709 nucleotides) under Hevea brasiliensis (rubber tree). Lineage: Eukaryota; Viridiplantae; Streptophyta; Magnoliopsida; Malpighiales; Euphorbiaceae. The record is from RNAcentral.